Molecule: unclassified non-coding RNA, 457 nt
Filed under: uncultured Lactarius
Lineage: Eukaryota; Fungi; Basidiomycota; Agaricomycetes; Russulales; Russulaceae
Description: sequence contains ITS2
Rfam family: 5.8S ribosomal RNA (bases 1-154)
Source: RNAcentral
AACUUUCAGCAAUGGAACUCUUGGCUCUCGCAUCGAUGAAGAACGCAGCGAAAUGCGAUACGUAAUGUGAAUUGCAGAAUUCAGUGAAUCAUCGAAUCUUUGAACGCACCUUGCGCCCCUUGGUAUUCCGAGGGGCACACCCGCUUGAGAGUCGUGAAAAUCUCAACCUUCUCGGAUGCUUCUGGACACCGAAGGAGGCCCGGACUUUUGAGGCCUUUGCUGGCGUCUCUCGCCAGCGCCUCUAAAAUGAAUUAGUGGGGUCCUCUUUGACGAUCCUCGACGUGUGAUAAGCUGUUUCCAUGUCUUGGUUUAUGGCUCUGUUGCUUUUGGGACCCGCUUCUAACCGUCUCAACGAGACAACGUUCGAGCGUGUCGAACACUCUUGAACCCACGAACCCUUGACCUCAAAUCGGGUGAGACUACCCGCUGAACUUAAGCAUAUCAAUAAGCGGAGGCU